RNAcentral lists this long non-coding RNA (712 nucleotides) under Gadus morhua (Atlantic cod). RNAcentral's name for it is "lncRNA (ENSGMOG00000036527.1)". Lineage: Eukaryota; Metazoa; Chordata; Actinopteri; Gadiformes; Gadidae. The record is from RNAcentral.
GGAUCAAUGUGUGCGGCGUGCGUCCUGGUCCGCUGGAGGCUCUCGCAUGCGCAAAGCGAGUUGUCUGCCGUGAUGACGCAGCUGUAUAUCUCGGCUCAUACGUAUCACACCUGGACACGCCUGGUAGCGUUGGAAAGGUAAACUCAUUGGCUAGAAGCCCAAGUGAUUGAUAUAUCAAUAGCCAAUACGCUGUCCCUAUACUAAAGCCGCGUAACAAAGUAAACAAAGCCCAUUGGCCCUUCGAACUGGGAGCGCUCCAUCUACUUCACGGGCUGUACCGGGGUGAAAACUGAACAGAAAAAGACGGGGACACUUUCAUUUUGUAGCCAGCAAAGUGAUGAAAACAAGCAUACCCAACAACUCCAUACUGGAGGUAGAGAAAAUAUCCAUGCGGCUUUGAAAAUCUGGAUGUUAGUUGACGAACAAAGUUUGGAGAUGGUAAACAAAUGGACUUUACACGACAAUAUUCACAAGCUGGAAUAAUUUUAUGAAAAACCAUGUGGAUGCUUUUGAUCAGUGGAUUCUCACGGACAUUUGGAAUAUAAAUAAUUGAGGAAUGGACACAUAUUACGGUUCUCGGAUUGCUUCAAAGCGACAGAGGUCUGCGCUGGCGUCGGUUACCGGGAAGCCUUUCAGAAGUACAUCCUGCCCAAAGGUAAGCGGCUAUCUUCAGAUUUCUGGGAGGGUAAUGUCGGGGCGGGCCUACAGCAGG